UAAACACUGUCAGGUAUUUCGCCGUAGGCUAUCGUUUGGUGUACAGACUGCACAAGUCAGGUUACACCCUCUCUAUACAAACGUGGUACAAUUUACUACGGGCAAUCAAGCAAGCCUAGCCAUGGCGUGGAAGGGACUCUGGCUGUGUAUUUUUAUCGCGACAGUUGGCUACUCCGUAGCAGCACCUGUAGCCGUCGUGCAAUUGAGCACCGUUCCAGUCUUCCAGACAGUGCUUGUAGAAAUCCCCAGGUUCGUUGGCGAUAGUACUCGAUGCAAACCAGGACAAAAGGCAACUC
Molecule: long non-coding RNA, 296 nt
Organism: Branchiostoma floridae (Florida lancelet)
Lineage: Eukaryota; Metazoa; Chordata; Leptocardii; Amphioxiformes; Branchiostomatidae
Exons: 3
Source: RefSeq, a predicted model, not a curated record